UUCUCAUUUACAGUCAGACUCAGUAGAUUUGCAAACAGCAGCUCACAGGAUCACAUGCAGCGACACUCCCACCUGCAUCUCUUCAUAUCUCUGGAACUAUCAGACUCUCUGACACUUUCUGUCCAAGACAACAUGGAAAUUACCAUCAAACAAGGCGUCCUUGGAUUAUUACUCAUUUUACUGUGGACUUCAGAUCUAACUGAUGGAAGUAAUGUCACCCAGACCUCCAUGUUGUGGAAGAAACAGGGUGAAGAUGCUACAAUAGACUGCAGCCACACCAAGGGUGCAGACUAUUUCCAGAUGUACUGGUACAGACAACUGCCAGGAGAAACUAUGAAACUAAUCGUGUUCACAAGUACAAUCAACACAAAUCAUGACUUUGGAGAUUUCAGCAAAGACAAAUUCUCAGCCACUAAACCUGACGCUCAGAGUGGAACUUUCACAGUGAAGAAUGUGCAGCCAGAAGAUCAAGGCUUGUAUUUCUGUGCUGUCAGUAAACACAGUGAUAUAGAUACAUGUGAAAGCUGAACAAAAACCCCAGCACACUGUCAGCACAACUGUUUCCAAAACUACUAAUCAGAUGUAGUGUGGUUCACACCACACAAUACAUGAUAUUCCCACCUGCAGCUCUUCAUCUAGGGCUGUGAGAAUUGUGUGUUAAACUCUGAAUUUA
Amphiprion ocellaris (clown anemonefish) is the source of this 673-nucleotide non-coding RNA. The record is from the annotation of a RefSeq genome assembly. NCBI's taxonomy places the organism in Eukaryota, Metazoa, Chordata, Actinopteri, Pomacentridae.